This 429-nucleotide ribosomal RNA is filed under the name uncultured bacterium. RNAcentral describes it as "bacterial SSU rRNA". It matches the Rfam family "Bacterial small subunit ribosomal RNA", at positions 29 to 454 of the family's 1533-position model. The record is from RNAcentral.
AACGAACGCUGGCGGCGCGUUUUAAGCAUGCAAGUCGGACGGUAGAGGGAGCUUGCUCCCUUGAGAGUGGCGAACGGGUGAGUAACGCGUAGAUGAUCUACCUUUUGGUUGGGGAUAGCUCAUGGAAACAUGGGGUAAUACCGAAUAAGAUCCUUUUGCUGUGGCGAAGGGAUGAAAGGGGCUUCGGCCUCGCCGAGAGAUGAGUCUGCGUAUGAUUAGCUAGUUGGUGUGGUAAAGGCGCACCAAGGCGACGAUCAUUAGCCGGCCUGAGAGGGUGACCGGCCACAUUGGGACUGAGACACGGCCCAGACUCCUACGGGAGGCAGCAGCUAAGAAUCUUCCGCAAUGGGCGAAAGCCUGACGGAGCGACGCCGCGUGGGUGAAGAAGGCCGAGAGGUUGUAAAGCCCUUUUCCUACAGAAGAAUAAGU